This 253-nucleotide ribosomal RNA is filed under the name uncultured bacterium. RNAcentral describes it as "partial 16S ribosomal RNA". It matches the Rfam family "Bacterial small subunit ribosomal RNA", at positions 524 to 776 of the family's 1533-position model. The record is from RNAcentral.
UACGUAGGGGCCUAGCGUUGUCCGGAAUUAUUGGGCGUAAAGAGCGUGUAGGCGGUUUGGUAGGUCCGUUGUGAAAACUCGAGGCUCAACCUCGAGACGCCGAUGGAAACCAUCAGACUAGAGUCCGGAAGAGGAGAGUGGAAUUCCUGGUGUAGCAGUGAAAUGCGUAGAUAUCAGGAGGAAUACCGAUGGCGAAGGCAGGUCUCUGGGCUAGAACUGACGCUCAUGCACGAAAGCGUGGGGAGCAAACAGG